Long non-coding RNA from Haplochromis burtoni (Burton's mouthbrooder), 3107 nucleotides. RefSeq lists it as uncharacterized. The transcript has 4 exons. The record is from RefSeq and is a predicted model, not a curated record. Lineage: Eukaryota; Metazoa; Chordata; Actinopteri; Cichliformes; Cichlidae.
UCAGUAGAAGAAGUGUGGUCAGUACGUGUUGAGGCAGCGUACAGCCCAUGUACCGAGUGGCUUUUGUUAACCUGCCUUCUCUGUUUUUUACAGAGAUCCUGAUGGAGAACUCGCACCAACAGAGCGAGAGCUCAUUUUAAAGGUACCAUGGAGAAAGGACAGCACCACACCGAAGUGUGCCAGUCCACAGAGCAUGUGCAGAAACGGCCGGCUUGUCCCAACAGCUGGUCUGUGGCGCCCUCUGGUGGUGAAAGUGCAGCGCGGCACCGUGAAGCCUCGGCAUUAAUGUGGCGGAAACAGAGGGAAAUUACAGGCUGAGACGACGGUUCAUCUGCAGGCCACCAUCUGCCCGAGACGGCAGCACAAACUCCAACAAGUACACAUCACAGAGUGUAAGGAUGCUGAAAGAGGCCAAAACCACUGGACUGAUCUUCAUGCAGCUCAGCUUCAGUUUCAGAUGAUUUCUGGUCGACUGUGUGGGUUUGUGUUCACUCUCGGUCACGUGGACCUCGCGUCAUUAAACACACGAAGCGACAUCUCCUCAGAACGAACAAAGACUGACACCAAAGGUAUUUUCUGCACAUUUUAUUUGAUUUUUCACUGUUUUUAAACCUCACAAAUAAUUUCAGCUGCUUGUUUUUUUCUACACUCUUUGAACCGUACUUUUAUGUGCCUGCAAAAACACAACACUCAUUCUUGUGUGUGCACUCACGCUGUGAAAGGUUCAUUCUGUAAAAAAAAACACAACACUGGUGGGGGGGAGGGGGGUUUCAUGUGUCUACCCAGUUGUGGGCCAAAUGGUCUCAUUUUUGCUGUGCAGGACAGCAGCGUGAUACUGAGCAAACCAAUGUCUAAAAAUAAAAGUACAGGACUCAUUUAAUGUUAAAGACAAAGUAACAGAGGUCCUGUUAACACCUGCAGCAGACAAAUGUGAGCUUACACUGCUGCUUCUGACUGGCUGCUUAGUGAUCACAUGAUUAGAGGGGCUGUGAGUCGAGCCUUCACCUCCCAGUGGCCCCUCCUGAGCCAGGGAAAGACCCGGAUCAUGGCUCCUCACUGGUGUCAUACCCACCUGCAGCCACACGAUGGCGAUCUAAGACCAGGAAAUGAGAUGCUGAAGUGCUCAGAUGAGGGAGCAGAGCUCCAGUCGCAGCAUGGACAUUAAACACACGAGACAUUAAAUGCGAUCCCAACGAGAGGAUCCGAGCUCCGACUGUGGGUGCCAGGUCUGCUGUGAGAACAGCCCACACCUCUAAAACGAACCCAAAAUAAAGUUUCCUUGUUUUCAAGCUUCAAAAAGUGUUUAGUCUGUCCCCAAGGGCACUUCCUGCCUUUGACUUCCCUGUAAGGAAACUUCCUGUAACGAGCUCCAGAUUAGGCCCCAUAUUUGAUUUUCACUGUUCAUUAACUAAGCCACCUGGAAUGUUAUUAUUUAAGCACGCUGCUCCUUCUCCCCAAACAACUGCCGCUGCGAGGGGGGAGCGCUUUCCCGGCCAACUUUAUAGAUUUAGCAUAACUUCCCUUCACAGUUUUUAAUUUCCCAUUCGGGUAGAUGGCAGAUGCACCUCACAGACACAGAAACCUGCCCGGCAUUCAUCUCUCACAUGAAUGCGAGUCUUAUCUGUUUGUUUCCUUCAGACAGUCUGCCGUCUGUGGGCCAGCGCACCUCGCACACAGCCCUGCGCCCGCCCCACAAACAUCACACACAAUCUAUACGUCGGCCCGAGCCACCACAGCGCCCUCUUGUGGCACGCCAUGAGGCGGCACCGGCGGGAGAGGAUCUGGGAAAGCUCAACAUAUGGUGUGAGGACACACAGCUCCAGGAUCCAUCUACUGUUAAUACAUGUGUCAUGCUUAACAGAAUGGAUAAAUGGGGGGGGCAACGGCACGGUGCUGCACUGAGCAUGUGUCGGGGAGUACACGCCGGCGUGGGUGUGUGUGCGUGCGGACGAGUGUGUGUCGUCUCAGAGGGAUCACCUGACGUUAACAUCAGCCUGCAAAAAUACCACACGCAUACUUAUGCACACACACGCACACUCACACAGACACACGCAUGUCAGGUAUUCAUAUCUGAAAUCUGACUUAAUGCUUCCCGAGCCCCUGACCCGCCUGUAAGCCUGUCACUGAAAACACAUUUUCAAAAAUGUCUUCAAACUUGUGGGGACCAGACACGCACAUGCACACGCAUGCAGACACAAACACGCACUCUCACAAAGAAACACACACGCGGCUGCUUGUCUGUUUGAGCUCAGAGCAUUUACAUUUCUCUUUGCUUUAGUGGGAAAAAGUGAAAAAGGAAUAAAGGUCACGCAGCUGCGUCACACUGAAGAUGAAACAUUUUCAUGUCAGCCUCACAAUUAAUGCAAUAAUUCGUCCGAGCUCUCGUACUCAUGUUCACGUCCACGCCGUGGAGGAGGCGGGAUCCCAUGUAGGACAGGUGUUAUUCAACACCCACAGCGCUCAGCCAAUCAGAAGAAAGCUGGCUUUCAGGAGGAGGAGCUAAAACGGCUGAUUCCAGAGAGAACAUGAGCUCCAGGCCUUGCAGAAGCGGCUCUGGAUCGUGUUUUUUUGACCCUGAGCGGGCCUGACAGCGACCAGCCCGCCUGUGAGUGUCACAGAAAGAAGGCUUAUUCUGAACUGUGCAAAGUCGCCCUGCGAGAGCUGAGCAGGAAGAAAUGGGCUUGGCACACUGGGGCGUGUUCGGACAGGUGACCUGCGUGUGUGCAUGCGAUGCUGGCGGUGGCUCUUUGUUCCCUGUCGCAGGCUUCCGGCCUCAAAGCGGCAAAGAGUGUUAUCGUUGGCAGCGGCGCGCCUCAUUGUACAGCCCGGCAUUUCUAAAUAUGUAAAUAUGAGCAGCAGCAGGCUUGUAUACACCGAGGAGGAGCGGCGCAGGAAGUGAGCGCAGCCCGCGCCCCCCUCUGCCUCCAAAAUUGUAUUUUUAGAUGGUUUUAAUGAAUACAGGAUGUUUAUAGUUACCAUUCCCUGUGAUUCGCACAAAAGACUAGAAAAAUCCACACCGCCACCCCUCCUCUUCACCCUUCCCACCUUCCUCCCCCUCCUUCCCCCGAUCCCUCAAAGCACUACUAAAGAAGCAGAAGAAGAAGAAG